AGCAGCCGCGGUAAUUCCAGCUCCAAUAGCGUAUAUUAAAGUUGCUGCAAGUUAAAAAGCUCGUAGUUGAAUUUCGGGACCAUUCAUGUCGGUCGUGCCUAGGUACGUACUGGUAUUGUUGGUUUCUCCCUCCUGACGAACCAUGAUGUCAUUUAUUUGGUGUUGUGGGGAAUCAGGACUGUUACUUUGAAAAAAUUAGAGUGUUUAAAGCAGGCUCACGCUUGAAUACAUUAGCAUGGGAAUAAUGAAAUAGGACGUUUGAUUCUAUUUUGUUGGUUUCUAGGAUCGACGUAAUGAUUAAUAGGGAUAGGUUGGGGGCAUUAGUAUUCAAUUGUCAGAGGUGAAAUUCUUGGAUUUAUUGAAGACUAACUACUGCGAAAGCAUUUGCCAAGGAUGUUUUCAUUAAUCAAGAACGAAGGGUUAGGGGAUCGAAGACGAUCAGAUACCGUCGUAGUCUUAACCAUAAACUAUGCCGAUUAGGGAUCGGAUGAUGUUUAAUUUUUAAUGACUCAUUCGGCGU
This 520-nucleotide ribosomal RNA is filed under the name uncultured Glomus. RNAcentral's name for it is "SSU rRNA". It matches the Rfam family "Eukaryotic small subunit ribosomal RNA", at positions 569 to 1086 of the family's 1831-position model. The record is from RNAcentral. Lineage: Eukaryota; Fungi; Glomeromycota; Glomeromycetes; Glomerales; Glomeraceae.